ACGAACGCUGGCGGCGUGCUUAACACAUGCAAGUCGAACGGGUCUGCCCUGUUUUUUGCGGGGUGGGUCAGUGGCGAACGGGUGAGUAACACGUGAGUAACCUGCCCCUCACUUCUGGAUAACCGCUUGAAAGGGUGGCUAAUACGGGGUGUUCUGGCUGUGCCGCAUGGUGUGGCUGGGAAAGAUUCACUUUUGUGGUGUUUUGGUGGGGGAUGGGCUCGCGGCCUAUCAGCUUGUUGGUGGGGUGAUGGCCUGCCAAGGCUUUGACGGGUAGCCGGCCUGAUAGGGUGGGCGGUCACACUGGGACUGAGAUACGGCCCAGACUCCUGCGGGAGGCAGCAGUGGGGGGUAUUGCACAAUGGGCGGAAGCCUGAUGCAGCGACGUCGCGUGAGGGAUGGAGGCCUUCGGGUUGUGAACCUCUUUCGCCGGUGAAGAAGGUCCUGCUCUUUGUGGUGGGGUUGACGGUAGCCGGGUUAUGAAGCGCCGGCUAACUACGUG
Molecule: ribosomal RNA, 499 nt
Filed under: uncultured bacterium
Lineage: Bacteria
Description: partial 16S ribosomal RNA
Rfam family: Bacterial small subunit ribosomal RNA
Source: RNAcentral